CCUACGGGUGACAGCAGUGGGGGAUAUUGCACAAUGGGGGAAACCCUGAUGCAGCGACGCCGCGUGUGGGAAGACGGUCUUCUGGAUUGUAAACCACUGUCCCCAGGGACGAAAAUGACGGUACCGGGGGAGGAAGCGCCGGCCAACUACGUGCCAGCAGCCGCGGGAAUACGGAGGGAGCAAGCGUUGUCCGGACUUACUGGGUGUCAAGGGAGCGUAGGCGGGGAUGCAAGUUGGGUGUCAAAACUAUCGGCUCACCCGAUAGUCGCACUCCAAACUGCAGCUCUUGAGUGAAGUAGAGGCCGGCGGACUUCCUCGUGUAGCGGUGCAAUGCGUAGAUAUUAGGAGGACCCCCAGUGGCGACGGCGGCCUGCUUGGCUUUUCCUGCCGCUGAGGCUCGACCGUGUGGCGCGCAAACAGGAUUAGAUACCCUAGUAGUC
Molecule: ribosomal RNA, 440 nt
Filed under: uncultured bacterium
Lineage: Bacteria
Description: partial 16S ribosomal RNA
Rfam family: Bacterial small subunit ribosomal RNA
Source: RNAcentral